Oncorhynchus tshawytscha (Chinook salmon) is the source of this 359-nucleotide long non-coding RNA. NCBI's taxonomy places the organism in Eukaryota, Metazoa, Chordata, Actinopteri, Salmoniformes, Salmonidae. The record is from Ensembl.
AGUUAAACAUUAAGAUUAGGGCCUCAUUAUGAAUGGUUAAGGUUUGGGAUAGAGUUAUAACAGAAUGUUUAGGGCCUCAUUAUGAAUGGUUAAGGUUUGGGAUAGAGUUUAAACAUUAAGAUUAGGGCCUCAUUAUGAAUGGUUAAGGUUUGGGAUAGAGUUAUAACAGAAUGUUUAGGGCCUCAUUAUGAAUGGUUAAGGUUUGGGAUAGAGUUUAAACAUUAAGAUUAGGGCCUCAUUAUGAAUGGUUAAGGUUUGGGAUAGAGUUUAAACAGAAUGUUUAGGGCCUCAUUAUGAAUGGUUAAGGUUUGGGAUAGAGUUUAAACAGAAUGUUUAGGGCCUCAUUAUGAAUGGUUAAG